Transfer RNA from Hebeloma cylindrosporum, 72 nucleotides. It matches the Rfam family "tRNA". Rfam says of the family: Transfer RNA (tRNA) molecules are approximately 80 nucleotides in length. Their secondary structure includes four short double-helical elements and three loops (D, anti-codon, and T loops). The record is from Rfam. NCBI's taxonomy places the organism in Eukaryota, Fungi, Basidiomycota, Agaricomycetes, Agaricales, Hymenogastraceae.
GCCUGAAUAGUUUAAUAGGUAAAACGGCUUACUUGUAAUAAGUAGAUAGCGGUUCAAUUCCGUUUUUAGGCA